RNAcentral lists this long non-coding RNA (2609 nucleotides) under Coffea arabica (coffee). Its description in RNAcentral is "long non-coding RNA (CARA_LNC003110)". The record is from RNAcentral. Lineage: Eukaryota; Viridiplantae; Streptophyta; Magnoliopsida; Gentianales; Rubiaceae.
AUCCAUUUACAGUCCUUUUUCUCAUCUAAGUGAUUCAAUUUUCUCAGCAGUCUAUAAAUUACAAGAGUCGUCUAUAAAGCUCUCUAAGUGAUACAAAAUCCAUAGUAUAAAGUACUGAUCCAGGCAAGCUAAUUAAACAAGCCAUUCAGAUACUAGUUCUAUGGCCAAGCCAAGUUUUUGGCAAUGGAAUUCUCCAGUUCCAUAUGUCUACUGCUUUUUUGCCUUCCUCUUGGUGCUCCUUGCCUGUGCUUUAGUCAUUCUGUUCUGCUCUCAUCCAUUUUCCUCAGAAUCCAAAAGCGAUGCAGAAGAAAAGGAAACAAGAAACUUGAGCGCUGUAGAUCCAGAGAUGAUCACAGUAUUAGUAGUCUUGCCAGGACAUGCCAAUCCCAUGUACGUAGCAAAGCCCCUGGCUUCUAGUACUGCUGCUUCUGCAGCUAACCACCUGUAAAUCAUGUAUAGCUUUUUAGCUUUGAAGAUGGAUGUUUGACUGUAACUUUGGAACGUUUUCACCAUGUUUGUAUUGCAAUACAAAGAAUCUGACCGAAUUUUCCACGGCUUUUCAAACAGUAGCAUCGGGAUUUUCAAUCGUGAUUCAUGAAUGUCAAGAAAUCUAUCAUGUCAGAUCUAAGAUUUUGGCACCUUCCAGCAUGCUUGUCUAAAAAUCCAUCUGCAUUUUUCAUUCUAUAUAUGUCUUCUAAUCUAAGUGGAUAAAUAGUACAGGUACUUUACUAAGUCAGGAUUUACAACUGGCAUCGAUCAUUUCACACUGUGUUUCUAAAGAUUUUUAUAGCAUCUGAGUCGCUUUUUUUUUUUUUUCUUUUUCUUUGAAGAUCAAUCAAGAUCUUAUCCAUUGUUGCAGCUUGAUUAAUCUUUUCUGCAUUGAUAAUGUAUAAAGAAUUCGAAUUCGAUACAUACCUGAUGCCACUUCAUAUUGGCUUGUGUUGUAGUAUAAGAUUAUUUUGCAUUGAUACAUUGUUGCAGUUUGAUUAAUCUUUUCUGCAUUGAUAAUGUAUAAAGAAUUCGAAUUCGAUACAUAUCCGAUGCCACUUCAUAUUGGCUCGUGUUGUAGUAUAAGAUUAUUUUGACUCUUGGAUGUAGGAGGAAAAAGUGUAAAAAUAUAAGAAGUAGGAGGUACAGGACUUUCUUUUUUUUGUCAUCACAGGGAGUAUCCCUUGUGGACUAAUCUCCCUUUGUCUGUGCACCCGCCUCCCAAGAUGCACAAGACAGUAGAAGAAAUCGAACCACAAUCACAUGGUGCAGGAACCUAACGAGGCAACCCAACACCAGCCGAGCCGACACCCGAGGGACAGGUACAAGACUUUUCUUAGGACAGCGAAAUUUUACUUGGUUUCAUUGAAUUUGAUUGAGCCAUCGUCAGGAGUAACAAUUGUGGUUUGCUAAUUCAAUUUAACCUCUUCUUUUGCAUGUUCAUUUUCACACAUUUCCUUUACCAAUCUUUCUCCUCAAUACUGUAGCUCGGCUCCAAUCCUGUUGCUAUUCGGGCACUGAACUACUGUUAUAUCUAAUGGUUGUCGUGGUCAACAAAAAACUGUACUCAACAGCGAGUGGCACUUACCACUAGGCCCAACAUCCCAUGAUUGAAAUAUUAAAAGAGAGCAUGACUAUUAAUUACCCAAUUAUUUCAUGUAAAUCACGCAGUAUUAAGUCAAGUAAUUGAGAAUUGGAUAUUUUUGCUUAAAAAGUACAAUUUCCAUGCAUCAUUAUUUCUUUUUUAUACUUCUUCUUUUCAAUUCAUUUGGAAAGAAGAAAAAGAAGAAGAAGAAGAAGAAAACGUCUGGUUCAGUAAUAACAUUUUGUCAUCAAAUGCCUAAACUAUAACAAACCUUCAGAAAGCACCUGCAAUAGUCUUUCUUGAACAGGUUCAAAUUGGCAAGAGUUUUUUUUUUGGGGGGGGGGGGGGGGGGUUUGGUAUAUACAGAAGGGACAAGACAAUUAACGGGGAAAAAAAGGUGUGUGUGACAUCAGGUUUGUGAGGACAGAUCGAAACAAUUUCAGCCAUGGCAGCAGCAUACAAUAGGAAAAUUCAUGGCAACAUAGGAAACUAAUUGAUUUGAACAAAUAUGGAAAGAGAAAGCAACAACUCCUACUGAGACAAAGAGAAUUCAAUCAUAUCCCAAUUUGACUAAAUUUUACUAUUAUCAUAUUAUUCCUUUUAGGAACUAUGCAAUGUGCACCACAUUCUUAAUUCAGAUCAGCAAUCCUAAAUGUGAAAAUCGUCAAUUACUAGAUCUUUCCAGCUUUCUGAUGAUUUUUGUUCUUUUUGAUUAAGAAACAUUUGCUUGUUCACAUGGAGCCCAAGACAAGUGCAAGUCAAGAUACGAUCCACCAAAAGGACAACCAACAAGAGUAACACAGUGGCCUUACUUGUCCGGUAUUGCAAUUGAUCAAUAAGCCACAACAGAACAAAUGGACGUGGGGAACAACUAAAAAGGGGUUGGGAACAGUGUAUGUCCCAUGCCAUUUGGGGUUCUUUCUUAAGUCUCUUUUGUUCCUUCACUUGAAGCUAUAUCUGGACCCAUGAGAUGAGAUGUCCCAAGAAAAUGAAAGCUCUCCAAUUUUUAACAUGCAUAAAAUACAAAUGACUGUUG